CUACGUGCCAGCAGCCGCGGUAAUACGUAGGGUGCGAGCGUUAAUCGGAAUUACUGGGCGUAAAGCGGGCGCAGACGGUUACUUAAGCAGGAUGUGAAAUCCCCGGGCUCAACCUGGGAACUGCGUUCUGAACUGGGUGACUAGAGUGUGUCAGAGGGAGGUAGAAUUCCACGUGUAGCAGUGAAAUGCGUAGAGAUGUGGAGGAAUACCGAUGGCGAAGGCAGCCUCCUGGGAUAACACUGACGUUCAUGCCCGAAAGCGUGGGUAGCAAACAGGAUUAGAUACCCUGGUAGUCCACGCCCUAAACGAUGUCGAUUAGCUGUUGGGCAGCAUGACUGCUUAGUAGCGAAGCUAACGCGUGAAAUCGACCGCCUGGGGAGUACGGUCGCAAGAUUAAAACUCAAAGGAAUUGACGGGGACCCGCACAAGCGGUGGAUGAUGUGGAUUAAUUCGAUGCAACGCGAGGAACCUUACCUGGUCUUGACAU
Molecule: ribosomal RNA, 487 nt
Filed under: uncultured bacterium
Lineage: Bacteria
Description: bacterial SSU rRNA
Rfam family: Bacterial small subunit ribosomal RNA
Source: RNAcentral